GACGAACGCUGGCGGCGUGCCUAAUACAUGCAAGUAGAACGCACAGUUUAUACCGUAGCUUGCUACACCAUAGACUGUGAGUUGCGAACGGGCGAGUAACGCGUAGGUAACCUGCCUGGUAGCGGGGGAUAACUAUUGGAAACGAUAGCUAAUACCGCAUAAUAUUAAUUAUUGCAUGAUAAUUAAUUGAAAGGUGCAAUUGCACCACUACCAGAUGGACCUGCGUUGUAUUAGCUAGUAGGUGAGGUAACGGCUCACCUAGGCGACGAUACAUAGCCGACCUGAGAGGGUGAUCGGCCACACUGGGACUGAGACACGGCCCAGACUCCUACGGGGGGCAGCAGUAGGGAAUCUUCGGCAAUGGACGAAAGUCUGACCGAGCAACGCCGCGUGAGUGAAGAAGGUUUUCGGAUCGUAAAGCUCUGUUGUAAGAGAAGAACGGGUGUGAGAGUGGAAAGUUCACACUGUGACGGUAUCUGACCAGAAAGGGACGGCUAACUACGUG
This 505-nucleotide ribosomal RNA is filed under the name uncultured bacterium. RNAcentral's name for it is "partial 16S ribosomal RNA". It matches the Rfam family "Bacterial small subunit ribosomal RNA", at positions 28 to 507 of the family's 1533-position model. The record is from RNAcentral.